UACGUAGGGGGCAAGCGUUGUCCGGAUUUAUUGGGCGUAAAGAGCGUGUAGGCGGCUUUACAGGUCCGUUGUGAAAACUCGAGGCUCAACCUCGAGACGCCGGUGGAAACCGUAAAGCUAGAGUCCGGAAGAGGAGAGUGGAAUUCCUGGUGUAGCGGUGAAAUGCGCAGAUAUCAGGAAGAACACCGAUGGCGAAGGCAGUUCUCUGGGACGGUACUGACGCUGAGACGCGAAAGCGUGGGGAGCGAACAGG
RNAcentral lists this ribosomal RNA (253 nucleotides) under uncultured bacterium. RNAcentral describes it as "partial 16S ribosomal RNA". It matches the Rfam family "Bacterial small subunit ribosomal RNA", at positions 524 to 776 of the family's 1533-position model. The record is from RNAcentral.